RNAcentral lists this ribosomal RNA (353 nucleotides) under uncultured bacterium. RNAcentral describes it as "bacterial SSU rRNA". It matches the Rfam family "Bacterial small subunit ribosomal RNA", at positions 28 to 369 of the family's 1533-position model. The record is from RNAcentral.
GACGAACGCUGGCGGCGUGCUUAACACAUGCAAGUCGAGCGGGUAAGGCCCUUUCGGGGGUACACGAGCGGCGGACGGGUGAGUAACACGUGGGUAACCUGCCCGGAAGUGGGGAAUACCUCGGGGAAACUCGAGCUAAUACCGCAUGACAUCUUUGGGACGAAAGUCCCGACGAUCAAAGCGGGGUCGCAAGAUCUCGCGCUACCGGAUGGGCCCGCGCCCGAUUAGCUAGUUGGUGAGGUAACGGCNCACCAAGGCUUCGAUCGGUAACCGGCCUGAGAGGGCGAUCGGUCACACCGGAACUGAGACACGGUCCGGACUCCUACGGGAGGCAGCAGUGGGGAAUCUUGCGC